This 498-nucleotide ribosomal RNA is filed under the name uncultured bacterium. RNAcentral's name for it is "partial 16S ribosomal RNA". It matches the Rfam family "Bacterial small subunit ribosomal RNA", at positions 29 to 507 of the family's 1533-position model. The record is from RNAcentral.
AUGAACGCUGGCGGCGUGCCUAAUACAUGCAAGUCGAGCGAACAGACGAGAGUGCUUGCACUCUCUGACGUUAGCGGCGGACGGGUGAGUAACACGUGGGUAACCUACCUAUAAGACUGGGAUAACUUCGGGAAACCGGAGCUAAUACCGGAUAAUAUUUAGCUUCGCAUGAAGCAAUAGUGAAAGACGGUUCUGCUGUCACUUAUAGAUGGACCCGCGGUGUAUUAGCUAGUUGGUGAGGUAACGGCUCACCAAGGCAACGAUACAUAGCCGACCUGAGAGGGUGAUCGGCCACACUGGGACUGAGACACGGCCCAGACUCCUACGGGAGGCAGCAGUAGGGAAUCUUCCGCAAUGGACGGAAGUCUGACGGAGCAAUGCCGCGUGAGUGAAGAAGGUUUUCGGAUCGUAAAACUCUGUUGUAAGGGAAGAACAAGUACGUUAGUAACUGAACGUACCUUGACGGUACCUUACCAGAAAGCCACGGCUAACUACGUG